Molecule: ribosomal RNA, 256 nt
Filed under: uncultured Oscillospiraceae bacterium
Lineage: Bacteria; Bacillati; Bacillota; Clostridia; Eubacteriales; Oscillospiraceae
Description: partial 16S ribosomal RNA
Rfam family: Bacterial small subunit ribosomal RNA
Source: RNAcentral
UUUUGUGACUGAGUGGCGGACGGGUGAGUAACGCGUGAGGAACCUGCCUUUCAGAGGGGGACAACAGUUGGAAACGACUGCUAAUACCGCAUGAUACAUUCGGAUGGCAUCAUCUGAAUAUCAAAGAUUUAUCGCUGAAAGAUGGGCUCACGUCUGAUUAGUUAGUUGGUGAGGUAACGGCUCACCAAGACUGCGAUCAGUAGCCGGACUGAGAGGUUGAACGGCCACACUGGAACUGAGACACGGUCCAGACUCC